Molecule: ribosomal RNA, 478 nt
Filed under: uncultured bacterium
Lineage: Bacteria
Description: bacterial SSU rRNA
Rfam family: Bacterial small subunit ribosomal RNA
Source: RNAcentral
AUGAACGCUAGCGGCAGGCUUAACACAUGCAAGUCGAGGGGUAGAAGGAGCUUGCUCCUUUGAGACCGGCGCACGGGUGCGUAACGCGUAUGCAAUCUACCUUUUGCAGAGGGAUAGCCCAGAGAAAUUUGGAUUAAUACCUCAUAGUAUGUGAGGAUGGCAUCAUUUCACAUUAAAGUCACAACGGCAAAAGAUGAGCAUGCGUCCCAUUAGCUAGUUGGUAAGGUAACGGCUUACCAAGGCUACGAUGGGUAGGGGUCCUGAGAGGGAGAUCCCCCACACUGGUACUGAGACACGGACCAGACUCCUACGGGAGGCAGCAGUGAGGAAUAUUGGACAAUGGGCGCAAGCCUGAUCCAGCCAUGCCGCGUGCAGGAUGACGGUCCUAUGGAUUGUAAACUGCUUUUGUACAGGAAGAAACACUACUUCGUGAAGUAGCUUGACGGUACUGUAAGAAUAAGGAUCGGCUAACUCCGUG